This is a long non-coding RNA of Eriocheir sinensis (Chinese mitten crab), 1453 nucleotides long. RefSeq lists it as uncharacterized. The transcript has 2 exons. The record is from RefSeq and is a predicted model, not a curated record. NCBI's taxonomy places the organism in Eukaryota, Metazoa, Arthropoda, Malacostraca, Decapoda, Varunidae.
GCUCAGGUCAGCUUGUUCGUGUGUGACCUGCUUUGUGGGCAUACGAGGUCAGGCGGAUUCUUGACCUUAAUGAGAUUUAGUUCAGUGUGUAGGUUUGUGCGUGUGUAGGUGAAGGGGUGUCUCUCUCUCUCUCUCUCUCUCUCUCUCUCUCUCUCUCUCUCUCUCUCUCUCUCUCUCUCUCUCUCUCUCUCUCUCUCUCUCUCUCUCUCUCUCUCUCUCUCUCUCUCUCUCUCUCUCUCUGCCACGUUUCACACUUUUAACUAAAAAAAAAAAGAUCAUAUCCACACUUAUCUUAGUUACACAGAAAUAAAUAUGGUACACUUUUUUCUUAACUUCUUUUUUGCUUGUAGUUUUUGUUAUCCGGUAAUGGAAUAAGCUCCUGCCUUCAACGGUUCAGUCACUUUUAUGAUGAUUCACUUAAAAAACAAUCACCACCACCACCUCGCCUAAAUACUGACGCUCUAGUAAAGAUGCUAAAACGGCUCCGUAUCCUCCGUUUGAUGUCGCUUUACUUAAAUUUAGAUCACCUCGCAUAUGGACCUUAGCGUCUGUGUCAGCGUUCCAAAUUGUCGUACUCUGAACAUUGGAUUUAUUAUUUUUAGGCUCCAAGACCGUCGUAACCACACAAACAACGAUAGAAAAUCAAAGUUAUCGUUGAAACUGUUAAAGAGUGAUGGCUUUCGCUCUUUUUUGCUAGAGUUAUCGGUCAGAAACUAGGAAAAUGCAAUGCGCUGAGUACGAUAAUUUGGCAACGCUGGACUCCGUGUGUUGGUCCUCCCGCCCACCACCACCACCACCACCUGUUAGACCAGUUGCAGUAGUAGGCUCUGAACCACUUUGUUAUUACCCUUAUAAAAGUUAGCUAAGGGACCUGAAUAAAGUGGUAGGUUUGGGGAGAACAUUUACCUCCUUAAACUUCCUUCUGAAACCUUCCUAACAUAACAACCAAAACGUUAGCAGUAAGUAGCGGCCUUUUCUUUUCUUUUUUGCAUUAUUGUUUUCUCUUAUUUUUUACGCCCUUGCUCUGUUUCGUCUGCUGUAAAAAAAAUAUAUAUGGAGAAAACGCUGAACGGGGAAAUAUAUAUAAAAAAAAAAGCAGAGAAGCGUCCCUUAACAUUUUUAUUAUAAUUUUCAUACACAACAGUUUAGAUAGGAGAGAGAAUAUAGUAGAAUAUCAGAUAAUCUUAAUGUUGUAUAUAUAGAAUAAUAACCACGGUACUUUUAAUUACCAUACAUUAUUAUUAUCCUACCUAAACAUCAUAUGCAUACGUUAUAUUCCCGCCCAAUUUUGUCUUAUUACCUCUGUCAGUCUUAGCUGCUUAUACCCUAUCUAGGAGGAGGAGGAGGAGGAGGAGGAGGAGGAGGAGGAGGACAGUAUUUAAAGUGAAGUGUACAAGUAAACAUCACGUAUGGAAUCGUUAAAUACCUGUUGCUUAUGUUGCUUCUUUCAUCA